GGUGGGUAGUUUAGUGGUAAAACACCGGCAUCGCACGCUGGAGACCCAGGUUCGAAUCCUGGUCCAACCG
This is a non-coding RNA of Scenedesmus sp. NREL 46B-D3, 70 nucleotides long. The record is from the annotation of a GenBank genome assembly. NCBI's taxonomy places the organism in Eukaryota, Viridiplantae, Chlorophyta, Chlorophyceae, Sphaeropleales, Scenedesmaceae.